GUGAGCGAUUAUAGUAUGUAUACAUCAAUAGUUUAGCAAGAAAGCAUUCUAUAAAGUUCUAAGUUUUUUGUUCUUUUACAAAAUCCACAAUCAAGUCUGCCAUUAAAAGUUGCUUUUAAACAAGAAGUAAUUCUCUUCUCUUCUUUUUUUUGUUGCAGACUACCAAAAGUUGAAUAGACCAAACAGUAACCAGAUUAAGAUGCAGCUAGAUACUAUUACUCAACAUUCCAUUGGAAUUAGAAUGAAAUUUGAUAAAGGCGAAAACAUGAAACCAGCAAUUCGAUCGUUCGAUUAAGUUAGACACAAAAAAAUUGUUCCAGUCUCACAUCUCAACAGCAUGGUCAAUUUUAUAAUCUUGUCACGAAAGCAGUUAUUCAUAAGGUUCGUAAAUGAUCAAUGUUUUUGUCAGAAAUUCCAAUUCCAUGCAAAAGUAUUUCAAGUGUAGUUCGUGGAAAAUAAGAUAUAUGAUGCUUCUUUUACAGCAACAUAACAGAUUGGGCAUCCCCAGAGGUAUCUGUUUUCAAGUACAAAUAUUUCAUAUUCCUAACUAAUUCUGUGUGUAGUCUUAAGGACACAGGAUUUGAGACUAUUCACUUUUUUUGCGAUUUUGUAAAAAGGUAAUGCUAAACUGGUAAACUUUACUUUAUCUCAAUAAAGUGGAAUCCACCAAUAAUAAUAUAAACAUUUUCUCAUCAACCUUUCAAAUGACGUUCUUUAUUAGGCAAAGGAUAGUUCCUUAGUAUUUCUAACCAUUUGUACAUGGUUUUAAAGUUCCAUAUGAAAUGUACCCUAGAAAGUAAAUAGUUGGCAUGUUAUAUUCACACUCAUCACACCUUAAAGUUAGUUGGUAGUCUUUGAUAGCUUUGUUAAAUCUAUCUAAACUUUGCUUAUGUUCUUCCAUACUUGCUCCACGUACAACAGUUUCAGUAGUGUCAACAAGAGUUACAUUUAAAUGAUUAACAGUAAUUAUGCUAUCAACUACUCUUUGCAAAGCAGCUACGGCAUUCUACAUAUAUAGUUUUCCAUUACUUUCAAGCAUUGUAAAUAGAUGACCAUCAAAGUACAAUGGUACUUGGUAUUCUCCAAUGUUUUUUUUCAUCUUUUGGUCGAUACCUGUCCGAAUAAAUAACCUGAAUAUU
Long non-coding RNA from Octopus sinensis (East Asian common octopus), 1139 nucleotides. RefSeq lists it as uncharacterized. The transcript has 3 exons. The record is from RefSeq and is a predicted model, not a curated record. NCBI's taxonomy places the organism in Eukaryota, Metazoa, Mollusca, Cephalopoda, Octopoda, Octopodidae.